Molecule: long non-coding RNA, 458 nt
Organism: Mauremys reevesii (Reeves's turtle)
Lineage: Eukaryota; Metazoa; Chordata; Testudines; Geoemydidae
Exons: 4
Source: RefSeq, a predicted model, not a curated record
GUCUCUCUCUCUCUCAGGCGGGACGGGAUCGGUCGUGGUGGGUGGCUGCUGCUCGGCCCCUGCGCCGAUGUAGGCAGACAAUGCCCAUUGAUGUGCUUUGCCUAGUUGACAAAUACCACUUUACAAGAAGUUGAUAUGACAGUUCUUGAAUGUGGAGAAAAUUAGUCUGAAUGAAUAGAAGACUACAGUUUCUGUACAUAUGGCCUGUAUACUAUGUAAAGAUUUGUACAGAAUUUCUACAGCUCAAGUUUGGCAGCUUUUCUUCCACCAGAAGAAUGUUCUGGAAGAAAUAUACAGGUAGAUGAGUUUUUAAAAGAUGGAAUUUGGAAAUCUGUAAAUCAUGGUAACAUAUUACUGGUAUGUUCACAAGAAGACUCAAAUAGCUUUAAACUAUAUGUGGCAGUGGUGAGGGAAUGGUCUUGGGUACUAAAAAAUAAAGACUAUAUAUUUAUUUUUAA